GCGAAUGACGAAAUUCCCUGUAAAAUGAUAAGGAAUUAGGUUGGAUGAAGAAGGAAGAACAGAGAAAGAGAGAAUAGAGAUGAAUCGAAGGAAGAAUGAGAGAAAGAGAGAAGAUUUACCAAGUUCAUAACCCUUUUCCAUAGCUGAGUUUGGGAUAUUUAUUCUAUUGACUAACUAAUUCCAGCUGGCAUCCACUGACUCCGAAUCUAAUCAGGGCCAUUCAUCUCAUAUCUUGAAUCUUAAAUCAGAGCUGUCAAAGUGCUGAAAAUAAACUCAUGUGUAAAGCCACGUGCCCCCUUGACAAAUAUCCCUCAAUUCCCCUAAUUGCAAUCUCAC
RNAcentral lists this long non-coding RNA (336 nucleotides) under Capsicum annuum. Its description in RNAcentral is "long non-coding RNA (CANN_LNC014537)". Lineage: Eukaryota; Viridiplantae; Streptophyta; Magnoliopsida; Solanales; Solanaceae. The record is from RNAcentral.